Long non-coding RNA from Cryptotermes secundus, 291 nucleotides. RefSeq lists it as uncharacterized. The record is from RefSeq and is a predicted model, not a curated record. NCBI's taxonomy places the organism in Eukaryota, Metazoa, Arthropoda, Insecta, Blattodea, Kalotermitidae. The transcript has 3 exons.
GCAGAAUUCUGUGUGGAGCGUCAAUGAGGACACUUACGGAAGUAAAUUGCUGUGUGUUCUGCGAGAUAUCCGGAAGCCAACGGAAUGGAGUACUGUCUUCUGGAUUGUGCCGCCCUUAGUCUGAUAGUCGUCCUCUCUGAAGAUAGACAUCAAGAACAUUAAUAUUUCUUGCCACCAAAAUACACAUCCAGACUUUUCUUGGCGAAGGCUUAAGGUUGACACCCCAUUCCAUCUCGGGAGCACUUCGAACACGGCAAUGAAACCAGGGACGAAUGCAGCUACCGUCCCCAA